RNAcentral lists this ribosomal RNA (229 nucleotides) under uncultured bacterium. RNAcentral's name for it is "partial 16S ribosomal RNA". It matches the Rfam family "Bacterial small subunit ribosomal RNA", at positions 568 to 796 of the family's 1533-position model. The record is from RNAcentral.
UGCGCAGGCGGCUUAUUAAGUCAGUGGUGAAAUCUCUCGGCUCAACCGAGAAACUGCCAUUGAAACUGAUAAGCUUGAGUGUAGUUGUAGUAGGCGGAAUAUAGCAUGUAGCGGUGAAAUGCUUAGAUAUGCUAUAGAACACCGAUCGCGAAGGCAGCUUACUAAACUAUCACUGACGCUCAUGCACGAAAGCGUGGGGAGCAAACAGGAUUAGAUACCCCGGUAGUCC